This 454-nucleotide unclassified non-coding RNA is filed under the name Hevea brasiliensis (rubber tree). The record is from RNAcentral. Lineage: Eukaryota; Viridiplantae; Streptophyta; Magnoliopsida; Malpighiales; Euphorbiaceae.
GGUAGCACUCGUAUUCUAAUGUACUACCAGUUGUUUGUAACUACAGAACUUACAAUUGCUCUUAAGCUGGAACAUACUCAAGUAUCGGGUCAGCAGGGAAGUCCUCGUAUCCACUUAUGCCGGUAAUUCUUAACCUUGUGUUUGGCUGUCUGUGACCAAGUUUCCUCUGGUACUUCUUCUUCUUCUUAUAUUUGAAGACUAUCACUUUAUCAUCCCGUCCCUGUUCCUCAACCACUGCAUGAACAGCAGCAUUGGUCACCACUGGCAUGCCAAUGUAAGCCUUGUCUCUAGUUGAUACCAGUAAUACCUUGUUUAAUAUUAUCUGAUCAUUGACAUUGGCGCCUUUCAGCCUCUGCGUGUAUAUAUACCUUCCAGGCAUCACAAUGUACUGUCUCGACCCAAUCAUGACAACGGCGAAGAUGUCGGCGUCCUUCCCGGCGCCCGCGGCUGCGAU